Molecule: long non-coding RNA, 105 nt
Organism: Thalassophryne amazonica
Lineage: Eukaryota; Metazoa; Chordata; Actinopteri; Batrachoidiformes; Batrachoididae
Exons: 3
Source: RefSeq, a predicted model, not a curated record
UGUGUGUGUGUGUGCGUGCUGGUGGUGUAAAUUUUUAAAGCAGUGAAGUAACUUUUCACAUCAACAUGAUUUUUGGCACAAGUCUCAUUUUCUGACAAAUCCUUC